UUACAUUUAAUGUCUGUGGGACAGCCCUGGGACAGGUGAGAGCCAUGGAGAGUGGCCCAAUUUUACCAAAAUGACAUUUAAUGUCCGUGGGACAUUGCUGUUACUGGUCACAGCCACAGAGAGUGGCCCAAUGGCACCAAAAUUAAAUUUUAUGCAUGUGGAACCAUACUGGGACAGGUGAGAGCUACAGAGAGCCGCCCAAUUGUACCAAAGUGACAUUUAAUGUGUGUGGCACAGGUGACAGCCAUGGAGAGUGGCCCAGUGGUACCAAAAUCACAUUUAAUGUGUGUGGGACAGCCCUGGGGCAGGUGAGAGCCAUGGAGAGCAGCCCAAUGGUACCAAAAUCACAUUUAAUGCAUGUGGGACUGUGCUGGUACCGAUCACAGCCACAGAGAGUGGCCCAAUGGCACCAAAAUGACAUUUAAUAUGUGUGACAGCCAUGGAGAGCAGCUCAAUUUACCAAAAUCACAUUUAAUGUGUGUGGGACAGCCCUGGCACAGGUGACAGCCAUGAGGAGCAGUUUGGUGCAUGGCUGUGCCCAUGACUUGUGGUUCCACCUCCCCCGAGGCACAUCUGUCCCCAAAAGGUCACUCUAAAACCUCACCCCGGUGACAAAACCAGCCAGGGGACAGUGCCACCUCCCUGGCUCUGUCCUGGCAGUGAGACACAGCCCCGAGGUGCUGCGAGCUCCGUCCUGCGUCACCUCUGUGUCACCCCGGUGUCGCCCCCGCAGAGAGGAGCCGGCCUGGGAUUGAAUCACCCCUGGUUUGGGACCCCCUGCUCUGCCCCAGAGCGCCGGGGGCGGUGGGGAAAUCCAGGUCUGGCUGAGUAAUCCCGCAGUUAUCUCGCCCUGCCAUCGAUCCAGGGUGUCCUCACGCAGGCCAGGGCCUUUGUUCCGGCUCUUCUGGGAAAUAAUUGCAUUCUUUUAAUAUCUCCAAAGGCAGAUUUACCGCGGGGAGACCACACGGGGAGAAGGUGUUGCUGAGGGAGCCGGGAUGGCCCCGAGCAGCCGCAGCAGCCGUUUUCCCCCCGGCUCCGGGCCUGGAGAACGUUCUGGUUCCUCCCUCCCGGGCUGCGUGUCCAGGAGGGCAAAGGGAGGCUCUGUGGGGAGCGUGGACAGGCUGCACUCGCCCGGGCCUCUCCUCUCCCUGACUUUGCCCUAAAUGCCAAUUUUCCCCUGGGAUUGGGAGCAG
Molecule: long non-coding RNA, 1193 nt
Organism: Passer domesticus (house sparrow)
Lineage: Eukaryota; Metazoa; Chordata; Aves; Passeriformes; Passeridae
Exons: 3
Source: RefSeq, a predicted model, not a curated record